This 497-nucleotide ribosomal RNA is filed under the name uncultured bacterium. Its description in RNAcentral is "partial 16S ribosomal RNA". It matches the Rfam family "Bacterial small subunit ribosomal RNA", at positions 28 to 507 of the family's 1533-position model. The record is from RNAcentral.
GACGAACGCUGGCGGCGUGCCUAAUACAUGCAAGUAGAACGCUGAAACUUGGUGCUUGCACCGAGCGGAUGAGUUGCGAACGGGUGAGUAACGCGUAGGUAACCUGCCUGGUAGCGGGGGAUAACUAUUGGAAACGAUAGCUAAUACCGCAUAAGAGUAGAUGUUGCAUGACAUUUGCUUAAAAGGUGCAAUUGCACCACUACCAGAUGGACCUGCGUUGUAUUAGCUAGUUGGUGGGGUAACGGCUCACCAAGGCGACGAUACAUAGCCGACCUGAGAGGGUGAUCGGCCACACUGGGACUGAGACACGGCCCAGACUCCUACGGGAGGCAGCAGUAGGGAAUCUUCGGCAAUGGACGGAAGUCUGACCGAGCAACGCCGCGUGAGUGAAGAAGGGUGUCGGAUCGUAAAGCUCUGUUGUAAGGGAAGAACGAGUGUGAGAGUGGAAAGUUCACACUGUGACGGUAUCUUACCAGAAAGGGACGGCUAACUACGUG